This 585-nucleotide long non-coding RNA is filed under the name Homo sapiens (human). Its description in RNAcentral is "long non-coding RNA NONHSAT196987". The record is from RNAcentral. Lineage: Eukaryota; Metazoa; Chordata; Mammalia; Primates; Hominidae.
CCCAGGUUUGCCUCCCCAGCUGCAUGUGGCACACACGAGGCAUGGUUAGAUGAUCUAUUUUCUAUGUAUGUUUGUAGCCAGUUGUUCAGCUCCACUGUGAUAAAAUCAUGAAUCAUUGUUACUGGAUCUCAGUGAAGCAAAUAUGAUGAGGCAGGAAAAAUUUCUCAGAACACAUACCCCAGAGAGACUACAAAUGAACCAUUGCGUUAUUGUCUUUUUUCAAAUCAUGAGAUCAUUCUGAUUCUUUCACACUUUUUCAUGACACACACUCUUUCAUUCCCCAACUUAUACACACCCCAAGUUCGGUCCUUGUCUUCCUACCCAAACUCUUAACUCAGGACAAACUUUGACUCAAAUGCAGACCCUAAUGUGUGAUACCUAGCCCAUCUAGCCAGUAAGGUGAGGGCCAGAGCUGGCUACAAAAAGACAAUCUUAAUGAAUCCUCUGCUGAAUAGGAAAUGUGCUCUGUUUGUGAAGCUAAUUAACUGAAUUCAUUUAAUUGAAAGAUGGUGCGAGAAUUCUGUUUUCUUUCAGAAAAGGCUGAAGGAAUUGAAGAGAAAAAUCCUCACCCAAUAGCAUGCCCCU